This 245-nucleotide ribosomal RNA is filed under the name uncultured bacterium. Its description in RNAcentral is "partial 16S ribosomal RNA". It matches the Rfam family "Bacterial small subunit ribosomal RNA", at positions 334 to 595 of the family's 1533-position model. The record is from RNAcentral.
GAUCCCUACGGGGGGCAGCAGUCGGGAAUAUUGCACAAUGGAGGAAACUCUGAUGCAGUGACACCGCGUAUAGGAAGAAGGUUUUCGGAUUGUAAACUAUUUUAGACAGGGAAGAAAAAAGACAGUACCUGUAGAAUAAUCUCUGGCUAACUACGUGCCAGCAGCCGCGGUAAUACGUAGGGAGCAAGCGUUAUCCGGAAUUAUUGGGUGUAAAGGGUGCGUAUACGGUACAGCAAGUUAGUUGU